GGGUUUGUAACGAUGUCGACUUGGAGGUUGUGCCCUUGAGGCGUGGCUUCCGGAGCUAACGCGUUAAGUCGACCGCCUGGGGAGUACGGCCGCAAGGUUAAAACUCAAAUGAAUUGACGGGGGCCCGCACAAGCGGUGGAGCAUGUGGUUUAAUUCGAUGCAACGCGAAGAACCUUACCUACUCUUGACAUCCAGAGAAUUUGGCAGAGAUGCUUUGGUGCCUUCGGGAACUCUGAGACAGGUGCUGCAUGGCUGUCGUCAGCUCGUGUUGUGAAAUGUUGGGUUAAGUCCCGCAACGAGCGCAACCCUUAUCCUUUGUUGCCAGCGAUUCGGUCGGGAACUCAAAGGAGACUGCCAGUGAUAAACUGGAGGAAGGUGGGGAUGACGUCAAGUCAUCAUGGCCCUUACGAGUAGGGCUACACACGUGCUACAAUGGCAUAUACAAAGAGAAGCGACCUCGCGAGAGCAAGCGGACCUCAUAAAGUAUGUCGUAGUCCGGAUCGGAGUCUGCAACUCGACUCCGUGAAGUCGGAAUCGCUAGUAAUCGUGGAUCAGAAUGCCACGGUGAAUACGUUCCCGGGCCUUGUACACACCGCCCGUCACACCAUGGGAGUGGGUUGCAAAAGAAGUAGGUAGCUUAACCUUCGGGAGGGCGCUUACCACUUUGUGAUUCAUGACUGGGGUGAAGUCGUAAAAAGGGUAGCCCC
RNAcentral lists this ribosomal RNA (707 nucleotides) under endophytic bacterium CL1A. RNAcentral's name for it is "bacterial SSU rRNA". It matches the Rfam family "Bacterial small subunit ribosomal RNA", at positions 797 to 1503 of the family's 1533-position model. The record is from RNAcentral.